CCUCAUGAUCCACCUGCCUCGGCCUCCCAAAGUGCUGGGAUUACAGGCGUGAGCCACCGCGCCCGGCCUGUAUUUUUUUUUUUUUAACUGUACUAUGGCAAACUGAUUUGUCAUGAAAAACUUCCUGCUUUUCCAUGACUUUGAGGAUAACGUCCUUUAGCUAUCUGAUGUUAAAAGAAGAGGCUGGUUACUGCAGUAGAAUAUCAUAAUUCUGGGGGGGUUGGUACAUGUUUGGUUUACCCACAGUAGGGAGCAUGCUUACCAAAAGCAUGUGAAGCAUUGCUCUAAGUCUCUGGAUCCUUCUGCACAUCUCCAUCUACAUACUUCGUAGUCACAGUUCCUAAUAUCUCACCUGCUGUUAUCAUUGCCUACUUGAAAAUCUGGCAGGAAGGUUAUUAGGGAAAAGGAAAAGGGGAAUAUCAUUUAAGUUCCCUCACAACUGCUCUUCAAACACUAGCAGAGAAUGUUAGAAAGAAAAAGAGUAAGAAACAAAUGGAAGGAAAAGCUAAAAUAGACGUGAGGAAUAUGGAGGGAAACACGUUCCAACUUCCCCAUUCCUAUUAAUACUCCUUUCAUGCCUGGAUCAAAAAAGUGCUACCUCUUCACUCAUGGAGAGUUUUUGACUGCUUCCUGUCUUCAGCUCCUGGUCUAGUUUCUAAACGCCUAAUUUCAUUCUUUUGCUCAACCCAACCAGACCUGGUCCAGGCUACAGGAGCCAAGAACUAGAAACUAGCGUAGAUCUAGUAAGUGACAAGACUGAGAAACUUCAAGUCCCUACUCCCAAUGUUAGAUCUGCUGAAGAAGGCAUACGUGUUCCUAAGAUCUGAGGUUUGCACACUGAAUACAUUUUUUUUUUUUUUUUGAGAUAGAGUCUUGCUCUGUUACCCAGGCUGGAGUGCAGGGCAUGAUCUUGGCUCACUGCAACCUCUGCUUCCUAGCUUCAAGUGAUUCUCAUUCCUCAGCCUACCAAGUAGCUGGCAUUACAGGCACACACCACCAGGCCCGGCUAAUUUUUGUGUUUUUAGUAGAGAUGGGCUUUCACCAUGUUGUCCCAGGCUGGUCUCGGAAUCCUGACCUCAGGUGAUCCACCCACCUUGGCCUCCCAAAGUCUUGGGAUUACAGGCGUGAGCCACAGUGCCUGGCCACACUGAGUAAUUUUUUUUUUUUUUCAGACGGAGUCUCACUCUGUCGCCCGGGCUGUAGUGCAGUGGCGUGAUCUUGGCUCACCACAACCUCUGCCUCCACCUCCCGGAUUCAAGUGAUUCUCCUGUCUCAGCCUCCCAAGUAGCUGAGAUUACAGGUGCCCACCACCAUGCCUGGCUAAUUUUUGUGUUUUUAGUAGAGACGAGGUUUCACUAUACGUUGGCCAGGCUGGUCUCGAACUCCUGCCCUCAGGUGAUGCACCUGCCUUGGCCUCCCAAAGUUUUGGGAUUACAGGCAUGAGCCACUGUGCCCAGCCACUGAAUACAUUUUUAAAAGAGAUAUUUUCUUCAGUGUGGUUAGGGUGUGUGAUACUGUUAGUCUGGUCUUCAGAUAUAGCACAGGGUAAAAUACUAUCUUUCAUGGCCUGGCUUGGGAAUCUAACCACCAGGGAUACUAUGAAAAAUCCUUAAUAACCAGUAGGGUACAGGAGCCAAAACAACCAGUGUGCUCCUUCUUCUCUAUCUUACAACCAAAUAUCAUCAAAUGGUUUGGCUACAAUCAGCUCCUAUGGAAACCUGUUACUCCAGUUUCAAACAAAUGACUUAUAGUUGGCUCUAUGGAACCUUUUAGGGACUCCUAAUCAUAAAAUGAUUGCUCAGCAGGGCAGCUUAUGCUUGAUCUGCCCUGUUAAGAAAAAAAAUUUUUUUCAAAAUUUUCUUUUUCCCUCAUAAAAUAAACACCAGCUACUAUGGCACUUUCAAAGAACUACAACAGGAUAUUUCAUUCUUCAGGGGAGGAGACCCCACUUUAACUGCUGAUAAUCUGAAAUUUACUUCCAACCUCCUGGCAAGUACACAGCAAGGGCAACACUUUACUUAUGGCUUCCCUCCAUCCCUAUUAUAUUCUGUUAGGCAGAAAAAUAAACAUGGAAAAAGCUAAUAAAUGUUAAAUCCAUUCAGUACAUGCAUUUUAGGAUGAAGCUGGCAAGUUUCACUUAAACUGUAACCAAAAGUGUCUCCAAUAUUCAGCAACAACUAAGCUGGAUGAGAAGAAAAUGAGUUACUGAUAUAUUAUGCAUUUAUUCAUUCUCUACAUAGAGCAUGGAUGAGGUACAUAAAAUAUAUAGUUGGGAUUACUGUAUGUAUACAGGUUCUACUUUGGGCCUAUGCUAUCUUAAAAUUCACAAAAAUGACAAAUAAACCAGGGCUAGUCUUAUAUAAAUGUGGACUUUGAAUAAUACACUAACUGGGCUAUGGAAGCAUAAACAAACUGUAAUAGUGUACUUAAUGAUGAAACAAAAAACUGAAGAAAAUUCUACCAUGUAAUUAGUAUAUCUAUUGUUAUUUUUAAACCACUUUAAUACAUGAUUCAUCCUCAUAAACGGUGACAGUGAGAAUCAAAUUAUAUUGCUGAAGUUACAGGCACCAGAAGUCAAGAUUUUUGGAUUGCCUGCUUAAUAUGUAAAUCUGCAGACUUUCAGAUAAGGCUAUUUUAUUUUUUAUUUGUUAUUAAACAUUCCAGUAGCAUCAGAAAUGAGUUGACCUCUGAAGUAACUAUGAGAAUACUCUUUGGGUCUAUGUGUUUUGUGAAUACUGACAGUGAUUAACAGAAUUUAAAGAAAUUACAGUUUUGCUUUUGAUUAUUGUAAUACCUCACAAGGGGCAGGAGGAAAACUACAUUUUGUUGCUGGUCUUGGGUUAUUCUGAUGAUUUAUUAGGGGAGGCAGAGUAAGUGUUAGAGUGAGAAUAGAUUAGUACAUGUUCAUUUGUUAUGAUAUAUAGUAUAAAAUGUGACCAGAGCCUUUUCCUCUUUCAGAUUUUAUAAUUUACUCUCAAAUUUGUGGUUACAUAAAACUGAUGAAUCAAUUCAUAAAUCCAGGGAACCAAUAAUCCCUACAAAAGCAACGGACCUGGUACUCUAAAAUGUUACGCUACUGGCAGUAACAAGAUUAAAAGCUGGAAAUGUUUGAGCUGAAUGAAAAAUUUUAUUAAAAUUCAAAGUUAUCUAAAUCAUAAAUUUUUAAUAAAAUUAUCUAAGGAGAGAUUUUCUUUAGGAAACCUUAAGGAUACAUACAUUUAAGUAUAUCUGAGUUUUUGGGCAGUCUCCACCAUGUUUUCAUAUGCUGUCUAAUUAUUACCUAAAAAUGGCCCAAUUUUUGCUAUCAAAAUAUUCUUACUUCAAACACAAGUACCAUUCAAACAAUUCUGUAAUUCUUCUCAUUAUCACAAACUUUAAAAAUUGAAUAGCUUUACUUCAGAUAAAUUACUGGAAAAGCUUUGGUGAGAUGUUGAGAGAAUAGAGAAGAUCAAUAACACAUUAGGAUGUUUAGAAGUCACCAGUAGGACCACAAGCAUGGAGCAGUAGAAAAGGUUCAACAAAGCUUUCUUUGAGAGGAGAGAUGGGAAUGUGAACCUCAACGAGGUCUAGGUCAUUUAGGUAAAGGGAUAAAACACAAUCUCGAUGUGGGAAAGUGAUUGAGGAAGGGCAUCUUAGCAUAUGGUGGUGUUUUUGAUAUAUUUACCUGUCCUUUUCUAAAAUUUUCUGAAGUUCUAUGUCUCUGCAAGUUUUGAUUCAAUGAGGUCAGUAAUAAAUUACAGUAAACCACAAGGUUUAUUUUCAGAGAUGUGGGGUAACUUCAGAUUCAUGUUUAUAUCAUUGUUUUUUAAACCUAUUUUUUAGGACUAUUUGCAGCUCUAAAUACAAAGGAGUUUUUUAUUUCCCAUGUAUCUUAGCAGCUUUCUGGCAGUGUAGAAUUUUGAAGGAAGAUGCAUUUUUCUAGUGCAUAAUAUACAAAGUGCAUAAUAUACACUGUGGUUAAAUUUCAAUAGCCUCAAUCUCUGGAUUGAAGAUCUGGAAUUCGGAUACAUGAAAUGCUGAUUUUUAAAGUAUUCCAAUGGCCAAAAUGCUGAUGAAAAUGUUUUGUGGAAAAUAUAUAAAUUUUAUAUUAACAAAAGUGUGUUACUUUUAAAAAUUAAAAUAAGGAAAAUGAUUUAACACCUUUCAAAGGGUUAUCCUAAUGCAAAAUCCCUCUUUAAAUACAACUAAUUUAAAGUAGCACAUUACUGUUUUGUUUCAAACAGGCAAAUAUAAAUAUGAAAGCAUUUGUCUUAUUUUCUACAGUAACCUCUUUAUUUGAUAAAAUAGUCAAGUUUGGACAUUUUGAAACAAGCUAGAAUAAGUUUUAGCUUGAUUUAUAUAAAAAAAUGUAUUCAAUGAAAGAAAUUAUGUCUAAUAACAAAAAAUUCCCAACAAAUUAAAAUUAAAUAUUAAUAGAACAUUUUAUAAAAACUGAGUCACUCCUUGUUAAAUGCCACUUUCUUUUUUUUUGAGAUAGAGUCUCGCUCUGUUACCCAAGCUGGAGUGCAGUGGUGUGAUCUUGGUUCACUGCAACCUCUGCCUCCAGGGCUCAAGUGAUUCUCCUGCCUCAGCCUCCCAAGUAGCAGGGAUUACAGGUGCACACCACCAUGCUCGGCUAGUUUUUGUAUUUUUAGUAGAGACGGUGUUUCGCCACGUUGGCUGGGCUGGUCUCAAAUUCCUGACCUUAGGUGAUCCACCUGCCUCAGCCUCCCAAAGUGCUGGGAUUACAGGCGGGAGCCACCACACCCGGCCCAUUGCCAUUUUCACUUUUGAACAUUCACCUCAACCAGGCACACCUGGUGCCACCACUGAGGUAAUGCUAGGAAUGUGAGCCUCCUAUAAAACUGGCUCUACACACGUUGGCAAAGACCAAACAUUGGAAGUACACAGCAAACAGGGAAUAAGGACAGGCAACUGCAAAUCACCUCCACUACACACUUCACCCAUCUUCCUUCCUCCCUUACUCCCUCCCUCUCUCUCUUUCUCUGUUUCUUUAUUUUUAAGACAGAGUCUUGCGCUGUAGCCCAGGCUGGAGUGCAGUGGUGCAUGAUCUCGGCUCACUGCAACCUCCACCUCCCGGGUUCAAGCAAUUCUCAUGCCUCAGCCUCCCAAGCUGCUGGGAUUACAGACGUUCACUGUGACGCCCGGCUCAUUUUUGUAUUUUUAGUAGAGGCAGGGUUUCUCCAUGUUGGCCAGCCUCGUCUCGAACUCCUGGCCUCCAGUGAGCCGCCUGCCUCAGCCUCCCAAAGUGCUGGGAUUACAGGCAUGAGCCAUUGCAUCCAGCCAACUUCACCCACCUUUAAACUCCCCUUUAGGAAUACAGAGCACACUACAUUCACCCUCCUUCUUGCCUUCCAACAAGACAAUUCACAGCUUGGUGUCUGUUCCUUUAAUUAGGUCAGCUCCAAGCUGAGAUAAGCCUCAAGGAGUAGGUGUUUUAAUGGGAUAAGAAGAACGAAGUCUAGAGAAUUUAGGCCCUCAAUUUCAGGUGACCCAGCAUUUGUAUCCCUCUUUACCUCCACACCUGUCCUUUCUCCCUGUUUAUUAUGGAAUUCCUGAAUCCACCUGGUCAGAGAUUUCAUAUUCUAUCACUUGUAAAAGUCAUGUUAUUAAUUCAACGUGACUGAAAUAGCUGAGAAGCCUGAAAAACUGUAUUAUAUUUAAGAAGUUCUAUUAAGUAUUAAAAGUAAGAAAAUCUCUAUGAAUCCCACCUGAUGAUCCAAAUAUAUGGUGUUCCUUUGGAGAUGAUGUGAAAGAAUUUCAUUCUAGUAGGCACCAAUUAAGAAAAAAGGGACAGAGAAAGAGGAUGUGGAAUUCAAGAAAAGGUCAAUUUUGGAAUAAGAAAAACAGGUAAUUUACUACAACCUAUUAUAUCACAGUACACGACAACUUUCACGCACAUGCUCCCCUGUAAAUGGUACCGCUGACAUAUUAAAUUACAAAAUUAUAUUUUGUUUUGUAAGAAAUUACGUAGACAUGCAUAUGAACAAUGAACUAUUAAGCAGAAAAAUUCCUUAAAAUAGCUUUAGCAAACUGACUGUUAGAACUUUUACAUGUCAAUUAUUUCCUCUAAUAUAGUACUACUUCUUUAAAUAAGAUCUUUCUUAUAUAACCAGAGCUAUAAACCCUUUGAGAAACGGUUAUGUGUUCGUUCUUUUCAUUAAAAAUAAGACAUUUUAAAAUUAAUUUUUAACAUUUAAAAGGCAGUAUUAUUAAAGCUAUAAUGAAUUUUUAAUUUAUUGUUUUAUUGGAAAUUAUAGGACUUCUCAAUAUUUGUUUUACCAGAUAUGGAAGUCACAGUAUUCAGUGAGUAACAACAUGAAGUUAAUGCGUACAUGAAGUAUUGUACGCAUUGCCUUCCUCAAAACCAAAAGCCAGUGGGUGAGCGGGUGGGGUAGAAGGCUAAGAAGAAAUGCACCCUACCUGUAUUUUCUUUCAGUAAUGUAUAAAUAAGUUGAAUUCUCAAAGGGUUAAUAGGAGAUUCUAAUGUUGUCACUAUAAUGAUGGUAUGGGCUCAUGCUCAACACUAAUGAUGCUGAUCAUAUUGACUGAUGAGUGUUUCAAAAUAAGAGAUGAUGGCAGACGACACAGACAAAUCUCUCCAUAGCUGACCUUUGGGCUGUGGGCCUCAAGCUUUAGCUGCAUGAGCUGUGCUAACGUAUGCUCCCGGAUACUACUCAGUUCGGCUUGCUGCCGUCUCAGCUUUAUUAGCAGCAGCGUAAGCUCCUCUGGCUGAAGGAGUACAAUUUAAGAAUCCAAACAGUGGAAAACAGAUUAAUUGUUGUCUUAAGUGACAGAUAUUAAACCAAGAUUUCUUGGCAAGUUUCCUCUUAUGGUUGACAUCAAACAUAGUGCCUAGGCACUAUGAUGAUAGGUCCUACAUAAAUGCAUAGAUAUCUAGAGAAAUAGAAGGAACAGUGUUACUUUAAAAGAUACAGCAAAACAACAGUAAAUUAAGGCAUUUUCUCAGAACUCAUGAGAACAUUUAAAUGUUAAGUACAAAAAAGCACAAUGCCAAAAAAACAUUAUAAAGGUUUGUACAUAAGUGCUACUAAAAAAUUAUUAAAAGAUAUUUUACUAAGAUAUCUAAAAAAAUUACACCUUUUCCCAGCAAUAGUACAAAUACCUGCAUGUCCAACUUUCUAACAGAACUACAUAAAAUAAUUAAAAUAAAUGUAGUCCGGGCACAGUGGCUCACGCCUGUAAUCCCAGCACUUUGGGAGGCUGAGGGAGGCGGAUCACAAGGUCAGAAGUUCGAGACCAGCCUGAGCCCUGCCUCUACUAAAGAUUAAAGAAAAAUUAGCCAGGCAUGGUGGCACGCAACUGUAAUCCCAGCUACUCGGGAGGCUGAGGCAGGAGAAUCGCUUGAAUCCAGGAGGUGGAGUUUGCAGUGAGCCGAGAUCACGCCAUUGCAUUCCAACCUGGGCGACACGGCGAGACUCCAUCUCAAAAUAAAUAAAUAAAAAAAUAAAUAAAAAUAAAAUAAAAUAAAAUAAAACUUGGAUAUCUUCACAUUAUUAAAUUUGGGAUCUGGGUUCUAUUAAUUGCUUCCCAGUUAUACUCUGAAAUGUCACUGUUAGUGCUUUCAUAUAGCAUUUUUUAUGACCAAAAGAUCAGUUUUAUUUUUUAAGAAAAAGAGAGUUUCCAUGGGCACAUAAACCCUCCUUCUUCACUCUGGGAAAAGAAGAGAACCUUUUUUUGGUUCCUGAUUGGUGACUGUGAUCCAAAGGAAAAUAAAUUUUCAACAGUGGAUGAAAUUCCUUAAUGGGCCAAUUUAAUAUACUUUUCUUAGAAAUACAGUAAAGUAUGAUCAUUGGCAUUCUUAUAGCCCAUAAAAUAUUACUUGGUAUUUCUCUGAGCUUUGUUAUGAUUAACAACUGAAAGCAGGCUACAGGCUUUCCUCACUGGAGUGCUGCAAUGUACUCUUAAAAAUUCCAGGCUAAAAAGUAUUCCCAAGAUUGGUUUGUUUUGCCUACACGACAGCAUUGCAUUAACUCUCUUCCGUUCUGUUUAUUUGCUAUUGCUCUUUAUUUUCUGACAAUUCUUUUCAAAAACAGAAAUCAUUUUUAACCAUUAUCCAAAAUCAUAUUAAAAAUUAUUGCCUUCAGAAGAAAAAGUGUUAGCAGAAGUUACUAUUGGAUUCCUUAGAUAAAACUGGGUAUCCACAGGUGAGACAACAGUUUUUUACUGUAUAUUAAAUGGUCAAAGAAUAUUUGGUGUAUGAGAUUUAAAUAAACCAUGUAAGAGAAAAAGAACAGUUGCUUUUGCUCUGAUGCCAAUCCUAUCUCGUGACCUCAUGAUGCUAGGAUAGUCCUUGUUUUAUGAUCAUCAUCUCCAACACUUGAGGUCUUGCCAGGGAGAAGGUAAGAUGGGCAAAGGGAUUUAGAUAUUCUAAGAACCCAGAGUGAUACCGCAAGGAAUACUGAAACUCUGGUUUAUUAUUUAUGGAGCUAAACAGACUAAGAGAUUUUCAAAAGGAUGAAAGAUACCAAUAACUUUAUUUAGAUUUUGAGGCCAAAUAAAGAGGCACAUUUGACCAAAGAAAGUAGGUGGUGGUAAAUAAAUUUUGGCUAAAUAUCCACUAGAGGGAGCAAGGCAGAAGAGAAACAUUUGUGGUAUGCUAUUUAGCAUUUACUCUAUGAUUAAUGACUAUUUGUCAGGCCAACAAUCUAAUGUUUUAAGAUUCCCACAUUUAAAAGUCCUUAGUCUUAAUCAAAUAAUCUUUGGCAAAUAAACUGCAGGAAGCUUAAAGCAAGGAAAUAUUUCAUUUUAUCUAAAUGUGUAAAAGAUAAAAUAAAACAAUGUUUUUACAAAACACAUAAGAUGAAUUUGAUUACUGCAGGAAGAGAAUUUUAAAUAAUGAACAACUAUACACACAGGUGCUAAAAUCACAUCUUUACAGAAACUGAGGUUAUCUACUGACAAUAAAGCCAGUGCCCCUGAUAAAAGAAUACCAUUAAAAUAAACUGAAGUGAGGAAAAGUCAUCUUUUCUCUUUAACUAGAAGAAGUGUCCUGCUAAUGUAACUCCUUUCCAAUUAACAUAACACUGACAAUGAAAUGGUAAUGGUAAAUACUUGCUUUGAUCGAACGCUUGUUACAGUCUUUUUCUGCUGAUAUGUAAAUCAGUUUAUUUUACAAACAGCUCUAAAGAAGUUAAUCUAAAAAUUCACACGAAAAACUUAAUACGCUGGUAGUUUGACUACAAAUAACUGCUUGCUGGAUUUGUUCACUAAUGAAUUACUGCAACUUCUGUUUUAAGGAUAAGGGAAUGAAAGUAAAGAAACCCACCUAGUUCAUACAAUAAAGUUUCUUUUUUUUUUUUUUUUUUUUGAGACAGAGUCUUGCUCUGUUGCCCAGGCUGGAGUGCAAUGGCAGGAUCUCGGCUCACUGCAAACUCCACCUCCUGGGUUCAAGUGAUUCUCCUGCCUCAGCCUCCCAAGUAGCUGGGAUUACAGGCACGCACCACCAUGCCCGGCUAAUUUUGUAUUUUUAGUAGAGAUGGGGUUUCAACAUGUUGGCCAGGCUGGUCUUGAACUCCUGACCUCAAGCGAUCCGCCUGCCUUGGCCUCCCAAAGUGCUGGGAUUACAGGCAUGAGCCACCGUGCCCGGCCAUAAAGUUUCAAAAUAUAAUCUUUUAUUUGGCCAGUCAGACACUUAGGAAAAGGUAUCCACUAAAACACUGAAAUGGCUACAUGAUUUCAAAUUCUGAUGAGCAUCUCUUGCACAAAAGCAGUAAUGUUUUUUCUUUGGGAGAACCUCUGAAAAUUCAAACUUAAAAAUUAUGUUAGAUAUGUACCUUCCUGUGCAGCACAUAAAUAAAACAUGGUAUGGUAAAUAAAGAUAUUACUCACCGUUUUCCCUUGGAGGCUCUGGGGACUAACAGACUGUAAAGUCAGGCCAGCUGGCACUGACCUUCUGUCAGGCACAUAGACAUGCUAGGAAAGUAAAGGCACAAUGUAAUUCUGUGGUAAAGUUUUUUUUUUCUUAUCAAUGUCAGCAAGGAGAAAUCUUAAAUUCCUAUUAUGAAAUACCAUUUAAAAUUGCUAUUAGUGCUUAUGAAAGAUGAUAGAGACUAACAUUUCUUGACAUAAAAUACUGAUGUGGGGCUGGGUGCGGUGGCUCACGCCUGUAAUCCCAACACUUUGAAAGGCCAGGGUGGACAGAUCACUUGAGGUCAGGAGUUCGAGACCAGCCUAGCCAACAUGGUGAAACCCUGUCCUUUCUCUACUAAAAGUAUAAAAAAUUAGCCAGGUGUGGUGGCGUGGGCCUGUAAUCCUAGCUACUCGGAAGGCUGACGUGGGACAAGUGCUUGACCCCGGGAGGCAGAGGUUGCAGUGAGCCGAGAUAGCACCACUGCACUCCAGCCUGGGCAACAGAGCGAGGCUCCAUCUAAAAAAAUAAUGAUGUGGAUGAGCAGAGUAAUUCUUUUUUUUUUUGUUUUUUGAAGCAGAGUCUCACUCUGUUGCCCAGCCUGGAGUGUAUGGCAAGAUCUCAGCUCACUGCAACCUCCACCUCCUGGGUUCAAGAGAUCCUCCUACCGCAGCCUCUCAAGUAGCUGGGAUUACAGGCGCAUGCCACCACGUCUGACUAAUUUUUGUAUUUUUAGUAGAGACGGGGUUUCACCAUGUUGGCCAGGCUGGUCUCGAACUCCUGGCCUCAAGCAAUCCACCUACCUCGGCCUCCCAAAGUGCUAGGAUUACAGGCUUGAGCCACUUGCCCGGCCUGAACAGAGUAAUUCUAAAAUCUGGUUUAGAGGUUCUCAAAAACUCUUUGACCUCAGGAUCCCUUUAUAUUCUUAAAAAGAAAAUUUAGUGGCAAGAGUGGCAUUGUUUUACAGUUUUGCAAAUCUUUAAUGUCUGGCUGGAUUCUUGUAUCUGUUUCUGUAUUUAAUCUGUUGUGAUAAUCUCUUUUAGUGGAAGUAUGUGAAGAAAAUCUACCCUCAAUAUAUAUAGUUGGAAAAAAGGAGAGAAUUUUAAUAGUUUUUCUUGAUAAUUAUAGAUGUUCAUCUUUGACACUGCGCUAUAGCUCAAAAAACUGAUAUUUUUUAAAGGUUAGUUACAAAGUGAUAUCUGAAACCUUAUCAAUGAACUUUUGAUACUCUGUUACAUUAAUAUCCACUUGGUCUAUUUGUACUUUAAAUGAAUCUUGUGACAUCAAACACUGGUCAUCUGGAAAAUAUUGGUUCAGUGAGUUAUGCAAUGUUCUAAAUAUUGACAUAUGUCAGUAUACAAUAUAAAAACAUCACAACUGUUAAUAUCACCGCCAAUCUUUAAGCACCGGAAAGCUGUCAAGUUCAGGGUGGCAGAUACAUGAUUUUCAAAAUUCUAUUUUUUGCUUGAAAACUCAAACGUUGUUAUCAGUAACAAAUACUGUCAGUUGUUUUCCUUGAAGUGACAGGAUAGCAUUCACUUUGAGAAAGUGUGUCUAUCAAAUACCACGUCUGAAUAUUGACAGUUGUCUUUUGUUCAAGUAAAAAUAUGUUUCACAAUAAAAGGAACUAAUUCAGCUUGCAACUCCAUCAUGUGUUUUACUGUGAGACAACGGUUAGCACUUUGGUAUGCCAUAGAAAUGCUUUAUGCAUUUACCAUUUCAUCACAAGUAAUAGUAAAAGAAUAUGUAACAAAAUGUUAAGGUUCAAUAAAAUUAUUUUCUACUGUUUCAUGAAUGAGAUUUAUAAGUGAACCUGAUACUUUAUUUUUUACUUCAAGUGUGUGGCAGGGAGGGCUACAAUGACCACUAGCAUAGUCUGGAUCCACUGCCUUGAUUUAUGCUAAGGUGCCAGAAAUUUUACUCACCAUCGCUUCUGCACUACUAGAGCAAAUAGGAACACAAUGAAUAAUGCCUUAUUAUGAUCAUAAAAAUAGUUUUGACUCCCUGAAACGGUCAUGGGAGGGAACCCCCACAGGGGUCCAUGAACUACACUUUAAGAACCACUGAUCUAGAUCAAGGAAGAGGAUAGGAUAGUUUGAAAGAAAAAUUUGGCAAUUUUGGAGAAGUCUUUUGGGAGUAGCAGUAGCAGACAGUUGAGAAUUGGAUAGAGAAUAUAGAUUCAUCUCAUAUUUGCUGUCGAAACAGAUGAUAUAUUCUGGCCAAGAACAUGAAAAAUACUAUUAACCAUGAGAGCAUGUAAUUUAGAGCCAAUUGUUAGACCAUACACAUUAAGUUGUAUUAGAUCAGAUUUUUCUUAUAUAUUGUUACUAUUUUUAUCAAUCAUGAUUUAGUCUUUGGAAAAAGUGAGGAAACACUGAACUUUGUUACGAUGGAGUUCAAAGUGAGCCUUUUGUUGUGAGGCAAAUUAAAACUUUCUUCAAAGGAAAAUUCCUGAUUAAUCUAUUAAUCUUAACAAAUGCUUAUUUAUGGAAAUAUCAAGCAAAUGCUUAGGUAAUAACGCAGCUGAAGAAAUCAGCUUGUCACAAGGAUAAGAAAAGAGCAUUUUAAAACAGUAUAAAGCAAUAACUUAUUAUUACUAUUUUUUGAGUCAGAGUCCUGCUCUGUCUCCCAGGCUUGGGUGCAGUGGUGCAAUCACAGCUUACUACAGCCUCAACCUUCCAUGUUCAAGUGAUCCUAUGGCCUUGGCUCCCCAAAGUGUUGGGAAUACAGGUGUGAGCCACUAUGUCCGGUCAAAGAACUCUUCAGUAUGAAAAAAAAAGCACUUUAGGAUAGACAUUAGGGAACUGGUUGUGUACUAGCUGACUAAUCAAAGCCACUGCUUUAGCAUUAUGAAAAGCUGAUUGAUACAAAGCACUUUGAAUUCACUUCAAAUAAUCUAUACUAAGCAAUGCUUAAACCAACUUAAUAUACAAAGUAAAACAUGAUCUCCAUUUUUAAAAUGUAUACAUACCAUUAAGCUACAAUAUUAAAUCGAGUGUUUAAGGAGUUAUCUCAAUAUGCCAUAUAUUCAUUGGUUAGAAGAUAAAGUUAACACUUUUAUCCUCAUGAACAACAGGAUGAGCUUGAUACAAAAUUUCAGGUAUGCCAGAAGACAGUAGGUGUAGAAUUUCCAAGUGUGUAAAAAGCCAAUAAAAAUGAAUGUGGUCUAGGCCAGGCACAGUGGCUCACACCUGCAAUCUCAGCACUUUGGGAGGCUGAGGCCAGUGGGUCACUUGAGAUCAGGAGUUCAAGACCAGCCUGGGCAUCACGGUGAAACCACAUCUCUACUAAAAAUACAAAAAUUAGCCAGGUGUGGUGGCGCAUGUCUGUAAUCCCAGCUACUCGGGAGGCUGAGGAAGGAGAAUCGCUUGAGCCCGGGAGGCAGAGGUUGCAGUGAGCUGAGAUUAUGCCUCUGCAUUCCAGCCUGGGCAACAGAGAGAGACUCCAUCUCAAAACAAAACAACAACAACAACAAAAACAACAGAAAAAUGCAUGUGGUGUUAAGCUACACGGAGAACUGAUGAGAUAUGGUAUCAAGCAGAGAAAACAGAAUGCAUCUGCUCAAAAGAACUGCUCCUGUGUUCCUGAGAGAUGAAGUGUUGCAAUUAGGUAUUUUUUAUACAUGAGAUCUUAAUGUUGUAAAAUAUUUUUAUUUAUUUUUUAAAACAAAAAAGAGCUGCCUUGCUUACUUUAUCCCCAUUCUUUUGUCUCUCACAUUUAAAAUAGUAUACUAGAAAGAAAACACAGCAUUUAUAAGGUAGUGAGUUAACACAAAAUCAGCAGCUAUUUUACCUUAGGGUGAUGGGCCCUGUGUCUGCGGUCUAUUGUCACAUCUCCUCUCUGAAUUGGUGAAGACACUUCCG
RNAcentral lists this long non-coding RNA (13734 nucleotides) under Homo sapiens (human). Its description in RNAcentral is "HSALNT0186295". Lineage: Eukaryota; Metazoa; Chordata; Mammalia; Primates; Hominidae. The record is from RNAcentral.